ACGCGCUGCUGAAACCGCUGUCCCCCGAGGCACCGCAGAGCAACAGGAAAGGAGAACAUCGUGUGACGGUUCCUCCCGCAAGGAGGGGGACAGGCUGAGCCUGGAGGGGGGCGAAAUGAGAAAAAUAUCUCUGGGAACGACCUUGAAUAAAGGAGAGCGUCGGACUGGCACAUCGUAAGUCAAUCAGCUAAUACCCAGUAAAUAGCCCAAACAAUCGAAAACCUGGGAAACAUCCUCGGUCACUUACAGAAAAACAAAGUGUUGUGACUGACAGCUUUAACUUUACUCUCCGCGGAAGCCGAGAGCAAGCCCCGUGACACAAAGUUAUGAGGCAGGCUUUCUACUCUCUUGCGGCUCAGUGUUUUUGAUGAUAUUAGAGCAUCUUUCACUCCAGUUUGCACUUGUGCCAUGCAAACUCAGAAAACGCAGAAAGCCAAAUAAGUAAUUGCUUAACUGCACGGCUUGGCCAGACUCUAUCUUAAUCACACUGGCGAUGAGGACCGCAGCGGCAGGCUCUGCGCACACAGUCAGGAUUCUCCAUCUUCUCUGCGGGCGCUUAAAAAUGCGGCUGAGUUCGUAACUUCACAACAGUUGGGCAGAUUUCGGUCAGCUCCUCUCCACGAGAAGACCUGGCCGCCUUUGCCCACCUCCAGGCUUGCAACCUCUGCGGUUUUAAACGGCCAAGGCACAGAGAGGGGCUGGCUAAGCCGAGCUGCACCCUGCGUAUCCCUGCGUUAGCUGAUCGCACCCAGGUCUGCGCGCUCUUGAAUGGUGCCCGCACAGGCGGGAUGCGGACAAGCCCGGACGCGUCAGUGACCGGCAUGUAAGGGUGCUUCGUGCCCUCCCUACCCGGGCCUGCUAUUCCCUCCGCUGCGUCUCCUGAAAUGCCAGGGAUGGCAUGAAAAGCACGGCUGGCUCCUGAGCAACUGGCCACUCGCAGCCCCUUUCCCUUCACUGAAAUGGAAGUGUGUCCUGGCUGCUUGGAGCCGGCUCGGCCCGAGGAAGAAAGCGCCGGGCGGGAGGCACAAGCCCUGCGCGGCCCUGCGCGGCCCUGCGCGGACGCGCCGUCAGCCUGGCGACGCCUCGGGACCGCGGGGGCGGCGCGUUUGGGAGCGCACGGAAGGCUCGUGCAGCGACUGCUCUCAGGGGUGUCUCGCACUACCAUGGCCAAGCGAAGUCAACCCCAGCCGCUUUCUGCCAAGGACAAGCAGCGGGGCCCCUUUUGGCUUGAAAUCUUUCAAACCGGCUCUACUUUUCGGAUUUUUUCCCCAGCCACUGAAAGUCAUUUCACCCUGAAUUAAAUUGAGAGGCAAUUUAGGCAACCAUGAAGGAAGGGGAGGGAGCAGGAGGUGAAAGAUAUAGACGAAGGGAAAACUCACUCUUUUGAUGUGAUAGCAUCUUUAAUCCUACUAAGCAUUUAAACAGCAAAAUGCUGUUUAAACUUUUAAACAACUGAAUGAGGUGCUAAUGUGUUUAGAGAACCUAGGUGAAGCAGCUAGGGAAAUCCUUAAAGAAAAGUCAUAGUCUCAUAAAAUCCGAGCUGACUUGAGAGCAAAUGAAACCCUAACACUGCACAACUUUAAAAAAUUCAAUUAAAAUAUUAGUUAAUGUUAUUCAGUUAUGACGUAGCUGCAGCAAACAGGAGCAACUGCAGCAAAACUUCAAUACGUACAAAAAGAAAAAGCAUUAACAAUCAUGGCAGAAGGGGCUUUCUUUUGCCAUUCCGUUUUACACACUUCAGAAAUGGGAAGGGCUACGCUCGAUGCUCUCAGAUCAUGACUGUUUUUAUCUAUCUGCCAGAGAGAAACUGGAAUGUUACAAUUUGAUUGCAGUGUUUUGUUCAUGCGGUUGCAUGUUACACUUCGGUUUGAAAAGCAUUUGUUUUUUCUCCAUUCAGAAGGAUAAAAUACAGCGCUUGUGUUAAAAAUGAACCUACACUCCGCUAGUGGUUCCAGCGGGAACGAGCUUUACCAGGGAGCUACGGGAAUGAGUGUUUUCGGUUCACUGAAACCGAUCCAGUAUGUGCAGCUUUCUGCGGGAGAGCUCCCAAACAGGUGGAAGAGAAGAUUGCCGGGAGACAACCUACCAACCACGGCCUUCCUGAAUCCUCGCAUUAGGUACCUCGGAAAUAGAGCCAACAGAAAUUAGCACCGCUCCACUCUGUUCAAAAACCUUUUGAAGAACAGCUAUAACUUUAAAAAGCGGAAAAGAGAAUAGGAAUUUUGUGCCUGAGGGGACUCUGCCAUUGAACCCUCUCUCCUCCAUAUCAGCACACACAUUUUGCUAUGAGAGACCCACUUCAGAAUACCUGCUUCACACAUUUCACUUUUCAUAAACCACAAAACGUAUCACAAUACUCUCUAGCAACUUUAAGCUUUGUAGUGCAACAGGCCAAAAACUAUACAAAGGGAACAGAAAAGUUUAGGGGCAUUGCUGGUGUUGCUCUCAGCCAGAUGAAUCUGGAGCAAAAUGACUCCAAAUCUGGCACUCUGUUUAGUCCUGACUGUGAGCAAGAUGAGCCAGCCAGGAACCGAAGUGGCUUACAAAACCAGCAGCAGAAUCAUUCCCUGUGUCCUGUCUCUAGCUAUGGCCAGAUCCUGAAGCCCUAGAGGACAUCCAAUUUAUGUAUCAAGAGGGGAGAAAAUCCCUCUUCAAGCCAACAUUUUAGUCUCCUUGGAAUUAAUACAGUACAAAUUCCGUGCAAUAGCACAAUAAACAAGCCUAAAUUUCCAACUUCUGGAUCACCACUGAGUGCUAUCUCACUAUCUUUUCCCUAAACUUAUUAAGUUCUAUCUUAAAACAUUUAAGGUUUAUUUGUUGAUUUUCAGGGGGCUAUAUAAAAACUUUUCUCCUGAUUAGAAAUCUUUCAAAAUGUAUUAUAAUUCCCUGGCUGGUCGUGUACCACUCUCCUCUACUUUGCACGGUUCUUUCCACAUCCUUGGCCUUUACUUUGAAUCACAGCUGGCACUAAGCAGAGGCGAAAGUGAGCUCAGUCCUGCUAAACCACUCAGCUGUUUCUGUACCCUCUUCUCUAGAGCUCACCUUCUCCUUGGGCUCAGGGCUGAUCCGCUCCGGCCCACGGGGCCACGUACCCGAGCUCAGGCCCGGCGAGAUUUGUUAGCUCUGGUGCCAGCCAUGCCAAAGCAGCUCAGCUGUGCUGCUCCCUGGCUUCAGCAGGUCUGGGGAGCAGCACAGCCAGCUCCACACGCUGCUGACUCCGUCAGGCCUCUGGUGGCUCUGCACCGAGCCCGGUCAGGUUCCUGCUCCCUCUUCAUUGCUCUGUUUAUUUUGUUAGAACCCACUAUAUAAUGUGGGCCCCAUAACCCAGAGGAAUAACCUGAAUGAUGGAGGAAUAACCACUGUCUCAGAAUAUUAGCAAGUCAGUCCAUUAUGUUCCCAUGUUAUUAACCACGUUUUCCAUUACCUCAGAUAUUCCAGUUGCCCCUAUCAUCCCAGACAGUGAUGCGUUGACUGCAAUUUCCACUGUCCUAUUCUCAUCUCAUUCAUUUACCUUAUCACUACUCUCAUGUUCAUCAUUUUUAUUAAAACCAGACACAAAGUAGACACCUAAGUAUUUAUAUGCCUUUUUCUGCCAAGAGCUUACAGUAGUACCUGAAAUUAUAGCAUAACUCAGCAUAACCCACCGCACAGUCUCAGAAGUAACACAACAGGAGGUGAUCUUUCUUUUCCCCCAAAUGAAUGCAUGUUACGUAUAUCCAAAUGGCAUCACUGAAGUGAAGCUGUUACUUGUGAUGCCCUGCUACCCUUAUGAUGGGUCAGUCUUUAUGCGAGCCUAGAGAUUUAAGGUGAGUUUUAAAUAAGGUUCACUUUAGUAUUUUUAUUGUAUGGGGGAGAGGGAUUUUCAAGCAUAUUUGUUAUUCUGGAAAAACUUCAGUUUGGGCUAAAUCUUCUGCCUUGUCCCUUCUGUACCCAGUGCAGCUAUGAUAAGGGAAGAUCUGCAAUAUUGUCUGUUAACCAUCUGCGUAUUUUCUUGAUACUUAAGCUGCUGAGCAUGGACUUGAUUCCUGAGAAACUCUGGGAAAUCUAUUUAGUCAACUCUAAUCAUGCUGCGGAGAAGAAAGCGAUGUUCCCACGACACACAGAGACAAGUCAUGCCUAACCACAGAGCCUUACUGACUGCCUUUAAAGAGUGACUUGACAAGGACCACGAGGACACUGUGUUUCCUGCUCUAUUAACCUCCUUUACCUAUGGCAUUGGCUGGCAGAGUACUAGACCACCAAGCCUUCUCAGGAACCUGGGGCCCCGUUCAUGGAGGAAGGUUCUUGUCUUUGCGGGAAGUAAAUGUGCUCUUGAGGAAUUAAUUGGCUGAAAAGCUUUUCUUUCUUUUUAUGAAUGUGUCGCCUAGUAGAGGCAACUGCUGGUGCUGAGGCAGGUGGGAGUCUUUGGCCAGGGACAGGGUGGAAGGCAGGACUGCCCUCCAGCAGCAGCCCACACUGUCAGUUUACAGUAACUGUGGAACAGAAGGGCAGGCUCAUUGCUGCUGCUGCCCAUUAACUUUUAAGCGCCCUGCUAACUAGCAGAGUUCAGGCUUAAGUUAAGCAUCUGGGAGUCCUACAUAACAAAGGGAGUUCAGAGAGCCUCAAAAAAUUGAUUCAUAAAAGCUGGCACAUUGAGUGUGAAGCCUUCCAACUCUUUUCAUUGCAAAUUAUAGGGAGAGGAUGGUUGUUUGAUCUGUUUUUAGCAAAGUAGUUCAGGCAGCUAUAUCUACCAGCAGAGCUAGAAACCUCAAACUAUUUUCUAGUAGUUAAAAGAAUACUGGUUCUUGAGUAUAAGGUGAUGGGAGGGACCGCUACCAUCUCCUCUUGCUUAUAUUUUGAAUGGCAUUCGCUGGAUUGGGCCCCAGAGGCCAGGGAGUCUCUGUUCUGUCUCUAUCCAUCCUAUCUGCCAGUCAACAUUCGCUUUCCAGUUGCAAUGGUCAUCCAAAUUCUCUCACUGCAGUGUAUGCAAUCACUAAAUCAGAUUCAAAAUAAGUAAAACUUUUUCUGGCAAAAGAUCAUCUAGUUAUUAGUUCCUCCCAUUUAAUCUUGUCUGAUCCAAUGGGGUCACAUUUUGGGGCCCUCAAUGCUAUCUGACUGACAGGGCCUCCCGUGGAGUCUGUAAAGUACAGUUGCAAUGCAUGGUAUUUGCUAAAACUUUCAGGAAUCUCCAUCUACAAGCAGCGCUCUUGUGGAUCUAAAUUUUGUCCAUGGGCACAUAAGUUGCAGUAAUGAAGGUAGUUGUAAAGCUAGCCCUUAUGACUUUUGUUAGAUGCUGUCUCCAACUACCUUACACCCAAGAACUCAGCAUUAGAGCACUAGUAUCUUUACUACUACAAAACAAAAUCUGAGAACAAGAUGUUAAUAAAGUUCUGACAAACCA
Molecule: long non-coding RNA, 5380 nt
Organism: Dromaius novaehollandiae (emu)
Lineage: Eukaryota; Metazoa; Chordata; Aves; Casuariiformes; Dromaiidae
Exons: 2
Source: RefSeq, a predicted model, not a curated record